Molecule: ribosomal RNA, 459 nt
Filed under: uncultured bacterium
Lineage: Bacteria
Description: partial 16S ribosomal RNA
Rfam family: Bacterial small subunit ribosomal RNA
Source: RNAcentral
CCUACGGGGGGCAGCAGUGAGGAAUAUUGGUCAAUGGCCGGAAGGCUGAACCAGCCAAGCCGCGUGAAGGACGAAGGUGCCAAGCAUUGUAAACUUCUUUUGUCAAGGGACAAAAUCAGGCUCGAGAGCCUGACCGAGGGUACUUGAAGAAAAAGCAUCGGCUAACUCCGUUCCAGCAGCCGAGGUAAUACGGAGGAUGCGAUGGUUAUCCGGAUUUAUUGGGUUUAAGGGGGACGUAGGCGGGCUGUUAAGUCAGCGGUAAAAGCCCGGGGCUCAACCCCGGCGAGCCGUUGAAACUGGCGGUCUUGAGAUGUCGAGAGGUAGGCGGAAUGCGCAGUGUAGCGGUGAAAUGCUUAGAUAUUGCGCAGAACUCCGAUUGCGAAGGCAGCAUACCGGCGGCGAUCUGACGCUGAGGCACGAAAGCGUGGGUAUCGAACAGGAUUAGAUACCCGUGUAGUC